This 592-nucleotide long non-coding RNA is filed under the name Anas platyrhynchos platyrhynchos (common mallard). RNAcentral describes it as "lncRNA (ENSAPLG00000018681.1)". The record is from RNAcentral. Lineage: Eukaryota; Metazoa; Chordata; Aves; Anseriformes; Anatidae.
CUGAACUAAGACCAGAGAAGCUGGGAACUGGCAGUUGUGUUGCCUGGGGUAGGUAGGCAGACUGACAAAACAGGACUGCAUGAGACUUUCCUGUUAGAGAAGCAUAGUAGGACUGCUGUUGCAUGGAGGAUAAAAUAAGAUAUCAGAGACUCAACGUUUACCCUUCAAGCCCUCUAUUGACAUGAAGUGCUGGAACAUUCCUUACAGUGAUGGUGGCAGGUUGCUGAUCACUUCAGACCAGAACCUUUGGUCAGCAAGGAGCUUCCUUUCCCCAAAGGAUGAAUUCCUGUCAACGCGGUGGUUCUUUGACAUUCUGCUGUGAAGAUGGAAGAAAUAUGCCUGUAGCAACAUAGCAAUGGCAAGGUCAGUGAAACCGAGGGGAGAAAUAAGAGAGUUUGCAAGGCUUUUGCUCUCAGUGGGGGAAAUUAAAGGUGGCUUAUAUUAUAAAAUAUUAAAUAGUGAUUUAAUCAGCAGUGAGAUAUGUAAGUGAGCUUAAUUAGAAAUACAUAUUAUUCUUUGACUUUAAAGCACAAAAUGAAAAAUUAAAGCAAUCUUGGAGGAUAUGUAAUCAGCGAGGAAUAAUAUGUUGGAA